AGAGUUUGAUCCUGGCUCAGGAUGAACGCUGGCGGCGUGGAUAAGGCAUGCAAGUCGAGAGGGUUUAGACCCUCGGCAGACGAGGUAGUAACACGUAGGUACGCACCCCAAAGUCGGGCAUAACUAGCCGAAAGGUUAGAUAAUUCUCGAUAGUCUCUUCGGAGUAAAGAUUUAUCGCUUUGGGAGCGGCCUGCGGAGUAUCAGCUAGUUGGUAGGGUAAAAGCCUACCAAGGCUAUGACGCUUAGGGGAGGUGAGAGCCUGACCCCCACCGAUGGAACUGAGACACGGUCCAUACACCUACGGGUGGCCGCAGUCGAGAAUCUUCCGCAAUGGACGCAAGUCUGACGGAGCGACGCCGCGUGGUUGAUGAAGUCCUUCGGGGUGUAAAAACCUUUUAUCAGGGAGAAAUUUAUUGAUAGUACCUGAUGAAUAAGAGGUUGCUAAACUCGUGCCAGCAGCAGCGGUAAUACGAGUGCCUCAAGCGUUAUCCGGAAUUAUUGGGCGUAAAGGGUGUGUAGGUGGUCUUGUUAGUCUUCUGUCAAAUUCUUCGGCUUAACCGGGGUUACGCAGAGGAAACGGCAAGACUUGAGGAUGCGAGAGGUAUGCGGAACUCAUAGUGUAGGGGUGAAAUCCGUUGAUAUUAUGGGGAACACCAAAAGCGAAGGCAGCAUACUGGCGCAUUCCUGACACUGAAACACGAAAGCGUGGGUAGCGAAUGGGAUUAGAUACCCCAGUAGUCCACGCCCUAAACGAUCUUCUCUAGCUAUUCGGAGUAUCGACCCUCUGAGUGGCGUAGCUAACGCGUUAAGAGAAGCGCCUGGGUAGUACGGCCGCAAGGCUAAAACUCAAAGGAAUAGACGGGGACUUGCACAAGCAGUGGAUCAUGUGGUUUAAUUCGUCGACAAACGAAGAACCUUACCAAGAUUAGAAAUCUAACUGAAGACUAGCAGAAACGUUAGUCGUCUCACAAGGACAGUUAGACAGGUGCUGCAUGGCCGUCGUCAGUUCGUGGUUUGAAUUGUUCCCUUCAGUGGGGUAACGAACGCAACCCUCGUUGCCUGUUAUAUAUGUCAGGCGAGACUGCCCAGCCUUUUGCUCGAAAUUUUCUCCGAAAAUUCCUAUUUGAAACAAUAAAUAAGAAACUUCGGCAGUUAUAUUUUUAGUAGGAGGCUGGGAGGAAGGCGAGGAUGACGCCAGGUCAGCAUGGCCCUCUGAUAUCUUGGGCUACACACGUGAUACAAUCGCAUCUACAACGCGUUGUGACGAGGAAACUCUGAACUAAUCGUUAGAAAGGAUGCGCCAGUUCGGAUAGGGGUCUGCAACUCGACCUCUUGAAGCCGGAAUUGCUAGUAAUCGCAGGUCAGCACACUGCGGUGAAUACGUUCUCAAGUCUUGUACACACCGCCCGU
RNAcentral lists this ribosomal RNA (1410 nucleotides) under uncultured bacterium. RNAcentral's name for it is "bacterial SSU rRNA". It matches the Rfam family "Bacterial small subunit ribosomal RNA". The record is from RNAcentral.